UUUUUUUUUUUUUAAUAAAUCACCUUUUCUUUUGUAUAACAGUAGAAUAGGGUGUUGUUCCAAAUGUCCAAGUACCCAUCACCUGUGCUCCAGCAGUGGCUGAAAAAGGAUGUUUAGGGAAGGUCUGUCACAAUUCUUCCCUCGUGGUGACAGCUAAUUUUAAGCCCAGUAUCACACAAAUAACUAGAAUUACCUUUGUUGUUUGCAGUGCUCUGCACUCAUUUUCUUCCCCAAUUGUCAUUUUAUUCCUCAUUAUUGCAUGAUUUUUCUAACCCUUUGCAGCUCCACUUCUGUGCAUUUUGGGGUCUCUUGAAUAGUGUUCCAUCAGAAGAUUUUAAUAUUUAUAACCUUCCUCAGUUCAUUUAUGUCACCAACCCGUGAAACCAUCACUGACAGUGUUUUUUCUCCAGCAGGAAAAUCAAUUAUAUGUUUCCUAUUUCUUUCCUAGCCUAUCAUUAAUCUACAUGAGGACCUCUCCUACCCCAUGGCAUCUUUCUUCCAUACUGCUUGAUAUGACAUUUUGAUGAACUUGUUUUAAAGAUCUCGUUAUGUUAUACUGACUCCAUUCUCCUUGCUUCGAUUCCCUCAAAGAAAAAAUCUGUAAUAAUUUGCCAAGCACAACUUUCCUUUUCUAUGUCUGUCAGAUUUCUUUCCCCAGUGCGUUGCAUUUAUUUAUCUGCUCUAAAAAACUUUUUUCUUUAAGGCCUGAUAACUUAUAAUUCUCUUCCUUAAUCCUUUAAGACAACAAAAACCUGUGACAUUAGGAACACAAAAUAAAAUAGUAAGGACACAUCUGAUGUCUGGUAUUUUCAGAAGUUUAAAAAGUUAAUUUAAAUUCAUUUUCUAGCAUCAGUUCCUUAAGGAUUGAGAUGCUUUGUCCCAGAUGCCCAUUUAACACACUUAGGUUAUUUGGGAAUUUUCUAGGUUUUCUAUCUUUCACCUUCACUUUUUUCUCUAAGACUGCAGGAUUUAACAUGUUUUUCUUCAAGAUUUCACCCUUGGAAGACAAAUUCUCACCAAUUACAUGAGAAUUUCUUGCCAAUUACCCCCCACACUUGUAAAAUCCCACUAUCUUUAUGUUUGAAAACAUACAUUUUGUAUUACAUCCAAACUUACCUUUAAAUAUUUCCUUUUUCUCCUGUAAAUCUUAGUCCUUCCUCUCAACAUUUUUUUUCUUAAACUCAUUUUUUGGGGUAGGGUAGAUAAUUAAGGAUCCUACAAGAAAAGACUGGGCAGAGAGUUCCUAAAAUUCAACCUUUUCUUGAAGCAAUCUGUUUCAAGCAAGCAUUUCUCUAAUAUUUCCUGUGUUGCUGGUACCUCUUGGAAUAUUCCAGCUGAAUCUCCUGUGCUAGACCAAGACAAAAUCACCUUCCCUGAGGGCUCCAAACCACAGCACCCCCCUUUCACCUCUCAUCUUCAUGAGCCAGCUCUACCAAGCUGAAAAUACACCUUUUUUCAUUCAUCAGUCACAUUAAACCAUAAUAUUUAAGGCUUAAUACAAUCACUGUAUUUGGCAAAAUAGUUUCUCCCACACACACUUCUGCUCCUAAUCAGAGAUAAUUAAGUAUGUGCAUCAUACAAAUUGACAGCCAUGUAGAUUCUGAAGCGGAGUUUAAAGUGUAAAUAAUGAUGAGAUAAAAGGGAUCUUUUGAGCAAAAUCAAAGUAUCAAGUAGUCAUUAUGUGUAAUCACUAUUACAAUUUAAUGACAUUUGUGCUAGAAUAGGAAUAUGAACAGGAAUUAAAGUGUCUCAUAUAUAUUACUACUUUUUUUUUUUAAUUUAACUCUAUGUUGGUUCCAAAUGGUUACCAAAACAUCAGCCUUUGCCUGAGCCUUUAGCAGGUGAUUUUACUGCAAACACAGAACCCAAGCCAACUGCAGUGGCCUGGAUGUGAGACGUGAGGAGGUCAUGCUGUGUGUGGCAAAAAUCCUAAUGUUUAUCCUUUUAAUCUUGCUUUCUGUGUUAAAUAUCAAUAUUAAGACUGGAAAGCCAUAAUUGGAAGCUGCUACCCCAUCACACACACAAAUCUAUACCUAAAAUACAGAAGUAACCUCAAACAGAUGUGACAGUGACACAGAAACCUGACUAAAGGGGUAAAGGGGAGGCAGAGGAAGGAGGAAUAAGAUUCCUUUGCUCCCAUGAACCUGAUAAGCAGCAAAUCAUGAGAGAGCAGAAGCAAGAGAGAAAGGAUUCUAUCUGCUUUUAAAUUUCCUGUGUAUUUGUAAAUGCUUUUAUUUUAUGAGCAGUUCAAAGGAUAACUACAGGAGUCAGUUGUGUCCAUCAUCAGGACAGCAGGUUUGCAAACAUCACUGCCUUGCACAGGUUUUUGAUAGAGCUGUUUCUAUAUCUAUCAUUUCUCAGGGGAUCAAGUCCCAAAUGUGGCCUUACUAAUAUUUCAAUGCAUCAUUGAAAAUGUAACAUGAGAUGAACAAAAUAAAUAAAACAGAAGUCCAGGAGUACUCAGUGAAAAAAAAAUUCCUGACUUCCAAAUGUUAUUUCACCCACAAGUUGAUGUGGAGGGGACAGGACAUAAAGGACACACUAAUCAAAUAAAAGACCUUAUGUAAUCUCUAGAAAUACCAGAUUGUGCAGCAGCACCAGUUGAGUUCAGGGCAUAGACUGAUACCAAGGUAUCCCUAGGGCCUCUUUGCAUUUCCUAAUUCAGAACUUGAUGUAGAAGAGAAAUUGUGGGGGUUUAUCCAGCAAUAUUUUUCCAUCUUUCCAUUUCUUCCUUUCUUCACUCAGAUUUUAAAGAAAGGUAUCUGGCUUUCUUGAUUAUGAACACCUUGAGCCAUUUCCAUUCAUAAACUGGGAAAAAAAACCAAUACAAUGAGUGGAUUGGUAAAAUCCCUCUGGAGUUGUUCUAAGGUUUCUGGCUUUAAAAUAAAAUAAAAUAAUUCUUAAAAAUAUGCCAUCCAACCAAAACAUCCCAUCUUCUAUAUAAUUCACAUCUAGAUUUGUCCAUUAAAAACAAUCUAAACAUUUUGGGUUGUUUUAUUAUUUUAUAGUGAAACCAAAUACAUGGCUUAAGCCUGUGCCUAUUUUUAAUGGGCUGUUUUAACUCUCUCAUUGAUCUGUUGUCAUGUUUAAUCAAGACAACAAAAAAAAGAGUAACAAGUAGGGUAAGCUUCAAGUACUGCACAUUUAAUUACAGCACGGAUUUGUUGGGGAGGAUGGGCUUAAAUUGACCUUUGUAUCAGGUUUCAUGAGCUUAGGUGUUCUUUUUAGACUCACAGAAUAUCAGCCCUGAAAAUGGGAAAAUAAAGUGGUUCUGUGUUUGAAUUAAACAAAAGGCCACUGUCAAGAACAGUCUGCAGAAGAACCACAAUAGCAAGAAGGUAUUUUUAGGUUUUUCUAGUCCAUCAGUCACCAGCAAAGCACCUCCCCAUCCUGAACAAGGUGCACACAAAUAUCAGAGCUGUUUUUCACAUAUUUAACAGAGCAAUGCCCCAGCAGUGGGGGCAGGUGCCUGGGCAGGCUGAGAAUGGGGCAGGGGAACCUCGCUGGGUUCACAAAGCCACGGGAAAAAUGGGGAGAGAAUUAUUAUAAGGGAUGGAGGGACAGGACAAGGGGAAAUGGCUUCAAACUCAGAGUAUGUUUAGAUUGGAUUUGGGAAGAAAUUCCUCCCUUGGAUGGUGGGCAGACCCUGGCACAGGGUGCCCAGAGCAGCUGUGGCUGCCCCUGGAUCCCUGGCAGUGCCCAAGGCCAGGUUGGACACUGGGGUUGGAGCAGCCUGGGACAGUGGAAGGUGUCCCUGCCAUGGCAGGGGGAGGAAUGGGAUGAGCUUUGAGGUCCUUUCUAACCCAAAGCAUCCUGUGAUUCCAUUAUAUAGAAACCUGAUGCUUUUGUUGUUGAUAUAACAGGUUCAAAACAGGGAAUUUAAAAUAGUCAAAUUCUAAGUUCCUUGUCCUUAAGAAGACUGUAAAUAACUUCUUUCUUCCAUGUUCCUUGGGAUCCUUAUCCUGUGCAUAUCACUCACUAAUAAACAAAUGCAAUUGAUCUGGUGGGAGAAAAGCCAAUUAUGCCACACAGAUCACAAGCACUACACCAAGCUGAGUCUUUUAACUGUUAGAAGCAUAAUUAGUUUCUCCCUCUUAAAAAUACAUAAAAUAUCAGAUGAGUCCUAGAAGUGCUUUGGGGGUGGUUUGUAUUUCCCAGCAUCUCAGAUGAUGUCUUGAUCUGAAAUGUUAAAUUUGGAGAGCAGAUCUUACAUGCAGGUAACUAAAAAAUGAUCAGAAAGAAAAUAGCCUAGAUUUCCCAGGGAGGCCUGUGCAAGCAGUAACAGCUCUCUACAUUAUCUGUAUUUGGCUGACAUCUAAGUACAGUUUUACAGCAUACAAUAGUAUUGGUAUUAUUUGUAGAUUAAAUUUGGAUUUAGCAAAACACAGGUAACACUCAUGACAAAAAAUAAGAGCUUAUGGGGAUUCCAGAAUGUUAAUAAACAGCAGAUACAGUAACUACAUUCUGACUUUCUGAAAACCUUAUGUGUGAUAACUUUCAUUAGAAUGGUGAGAUGAUUCAUUAACAUGGCAAGUACAAGAACAAUAAAAUAUAAAUAAAUAUAUGGAACACCCUUAAUCUCAGUUAGUUUGCUGUAGACCUCAUUAUUAAAGAAAACAUAUGCUUACAGAAUAUUUUUUAUAGAGUGCAGUAUUUAUACAAUUGUAAAUGGAUGUUUUAGUCCCACCAGGGGAUGAAAGCCUACUCAGACAUCAUAACAAUCUGCAGUAGAGACCAGAAAGUUCCCUCACAAGAAGCAGUCUGGGAGAAACCAUCUAAGAGGAAAAAAUACUCAGAAGCAACACUGUUCUCAGGUCUACAUGAAGUAUCUGGGGCUGGUGUAAAGGAGGGGAAUGGAAGCAGAUGAGCAAAAAACUGUAAGAAUUAUAUAAUUAUUUACUGGAAGGACUAAGGCAGCUGCAAACUCCACUGGGGGCACUGCCCCUUCUGCCAGGAACAUGCACCUCUGGCCAUGCAAAAAGAUCUGCAACCACUGAGCCACCCUGCUACCACAAAAACAGUUUUAAAGCCUGCUUUGCAAUACCUGCACUGAAUUACUGCCUGAUUUCAGGGGCAGCUUUGCUGCAGGAAGAUCAGUCCCUGCUUGGCCACCACUCUCCAUGCCACCUGUGUACAAAGAGCACCAGGCACCACAGGAAUUUAGAGGUGUCAAAGAGAGGAUGUGACACAAAACCCCAUUUUCCUGCCUGAAGGAUGACUCAGUUUGCCCACAGUGCUGAGGAACCUUGAGGUUCCUUUGCAGCCCUGGGAACACAAACAUUGGUAGCAGAAAACCUCCAUGAGCGAGGCUCCUCGGGAUGUGCACAAAGAGCUGGCAGGAAAAGAGGGAGAAGUCAAGAGUCUUGAAGCACACUUUGAGUUCCUGCCUUUUGAAGGCCCAGUAAACAUCACCCCAAUGCAAAUGCAGCAUCACACAUCUGAUGCAUUCCAGAUUCAGAUUCCUUUGUGAUUUUGCAAUGUAGAGUCAACAGAAAUGAACAAUUUUCACACAAAAGCAUUGUUAUUUUGAAGAAAUACCUAAUGCUGUUGAGAAAGACAUGAUUGUUUAAAAAAAAACCACCCUAUUUUUUACAAAUAGCUCAUUCUUAAAGGAUGUGCAUUGUCUACAGGGAACAUCCACUUUAAUUUACACACAGCUGACACUAAAAUGCCUUGUUAUUGUUGAAUUCCCUUCCUGAGUACACAUAAACACCCACUUCUUCCUGGCCUUAACAUUUCACUGAAAAGAACUUCCUCGCUCCUGUUUUGCAUAAUGAAGAGAAAAGACUUUGAAACCAAAUGAGGGGAAGAAAAUAAUAAGGCUACACACAUUAGGCUUUUACUAACUUUAACAGCAGUUAGGCACAGAAAUUAUCUGCUGGGGGGGGGGGGAACUGAGGGACUGUCAUUAGACUUGUUAAGAACAUGAUCAGUGCAAAACUCAAGGGACCAUCACAAAAUGGAAGGUGGGGCAACAGAAAAAUAAAAAGAAAAGGUAAAUUUUUUUUUAAAGAGUAAAAUAAAAAGCCAAUACACACUUCUUGGCGUAAUUAAAGGACUGACCAAAUGACACAGGAGGUGGAGAACAGAAUCUAGGCCCAGCAUCUAAAAUAUAAAGCAACAGUUUUAUUAGGCUGUAGGAAAGAAACAAAACAAAAAGCCAAAGCUGGUGUUUUUAAAACACUGAAGCUCACCUGGUGUUAAAGACAGAAAGCAGCAGCUAUUUUUAUGUUUCUAAAUGCCCUUAAUGCAUUUUCUAGUGGUUCAUAUUCUAGCAGUAUGCUUCUUGUGCACUGUACUUCAAGUGACUCCACUCAAAUAAUAAGGUCUUUGAAGUGACCUUGUGAAAGUCUUCCCUUGGAAAUGGACAGAUAGAAAUGAACUUUAAAGGUCAGCCUUAGAGGGGAGAGAAAAAAGAUCUGGUUUCCAGGCUGCAGCUCAUAUGUGCAGGUAAGGGGUGGCUGCGUUGCUUGCAAAUGAGAACUGUAAGAUGGAAGCAGACAGAUUUUCAUUUUAGUUCGGGAAAUCAAAACUAAAAAUUCUAAUAGACUGCUUAUCCCUUUUUCCACAAACAGACUUUCCUGGAUAGAAUCUACUGGCAGUGCACUUUGUUGCCAAAUCAGCCAUUUAGGAGCCUUUGGAGGUUUAGUGAGAGGACACAAAAGCACCUCCUCUCUCAAGACCUGCAUCCUGCCCUAUACAGCAUCACUUGAGGAGACACCUGAGACUCCAAACCCUGCCCAGCUUUUCCACAGGCAAAAGGGAUCAUUCCCUCAGACCAGGAAAGCUUUGCAGAGCAAGCACACAGCUUUUCUCCUGCUGGGAGCCAGGCAGAGGUGCUUUUCCUUGCCUUUCCCAGCUGGAAGAGGGGUCACCAGCAGCCCAGCCAGCAGGGAAAGGAGGGAAUUUGUGGCCUCUCCACAACUUCCCCAUCCAGCACCACAUCCAUCCUCCUCUCAAACGUCAUUGGCCCAAUUGAGGAGAAAAAUAAUUAGUUUCACUCUACUUCCUGCUAAUUACAGAGUGUAUAAUCUGCCAAACGAUGUACACGCUCGUGUUGGCUGUGGCCUGCUGCCUCCCCCUGCUAGCACAGGCAGCGAAUGGCUUACCAGUGACAGCUGGCAAACCAGCCUCUGGGAAUAAAACAUUUUAGCACUUCAUAAAUUUCUAACAAGGUUUCAAAUUGCUUCAGUUUCCCUCCUCUCAGCUCUGUCAGACUAGCAAAGGAGUUGGGGUGGGGGGGGGGGGAGAGGUGAACACUAAUUAAAUCGGUAGCAGAAAAGUACAACUUGUAAGAUAGUUCAUUAUUUUUAAUAAGCAGCAAUUAGACCCCAACUCCGAGGAAAGUUGGAUGCUACCUGCGAUGCACUGGCAGCAGGGAAAGCUGAAAUACAUCCUUCUGCCUCAAAUUCUCAAUGUAGGAACAAGUAAAGCACUUCAAAGUGCAGCUGCAUGACACGAUAAAACUUAAUGGAAGGUGACACAAUGCACUGAAAACUCGGAGGGAACAUGCAGCAUAGUUGGCAUUAAUGUUAGGGUUUCAUAUCACCAUUCAGAUAACAAAUGGUUUCCAAAUCCCCUCAUGAAGCUGCCAUCAGGAUAAAAAGCUGUCUUAUCAUUAUUACUAUUGAUUAGACAACAUACCACAUUACACUGAAUCUGACAUCCUGACCACAGGAAUGUGCCUAGAAUAAAAAUAAUAGGAUGCAAACAGCUAUUGAUCAUAUUUAUAGCAGGCUCUCUCACAGGUGUAAGCCAGCAACUCUCCUCUCAGUAUGAACAGACAAAACACAGGGACUGAUUUAGAAGCCAAAUGUUCCAGAAAAAAAUCAAAUAUUUGUGCAUUUGACAUUACAGAAGUGUUGUAAAACAUGAAGAUUUUACACAGGAUUGUAGGAAAGACUUAAACAGAAAUAGGUACUUGGUGAAAACAGAAUAAAUGUGUUUAAUAGGAAAUAAACAGCACAGUAGAAUAAUAGUGUCACGUUGUUAGAGCUACACUUCUUUUGCCAAAAUUGACCUUUAUUUUGUCUUCAUUUUAGUAGUAGUUGAAACCAAAAGGCAGUAACUGAACAGAUUUAUUCUUUUUCAUUAUAUUUAGCUCUGAAAGAUCAGAAUGGUGCUAGAUUUAACUUAGGAAAUAAUAAUAAAAAAAGAAGAAGAAGCAGAAAGGUACCAAAUCUGGGCUGUGUGGACCUGACAGUCCUUCAGUACAGUGAAAAAUCCUUCAGGAAGGAAUUAAGACAAAAAAAUACCCAAACCCAAGACAAAUGCACAGCAGAGCUGGUGUUUUACAAGGAGAAAGAAUUUGCCAUCAGGACCACGGCUUGCUGUGUCCUCUUUCCAGGAGAAUCUCUAACCAUGGAUAACUUCCAGAUAAAGAUAUUCACCUGGAAACGUGUUUACUUUUAAGUGAAAGCUGAAUGUCUACAGGAAAAGGCUGUGAAACUCGUGGGCACCUUCAUCUGACAAGGCUGAGGCACUGAGGGCCUUAUUCACCCCAGUUUUUAAUUGCAAGAUCAGCCUUAGGAAUCCCAAAAUCUUUCCCCAGAGACCAAGGGGAAAGGCUGGAGCAAGGAGGACCUUAGUGGAAGAGGAUUAAUUCAGGGAAUACAUAAAGGAAUAAAACUUGCAUAAAUCCAUGGGCAAUGGUGAAGUGUUUAAUGUUUCUUCUGUAAAAUGAAAUUCACCUCCUAUUUCUUAGCUCAGAAGUUCACCCACAAAAAAUAAUCAAACUUUCCUUCCUCAUGUCCAACAUUUUAAUUACUGUGUUAUAAAGAACUCAAAAUUCACCCAUUUUCAUUCUCUUGCUGCUUCAGCAGGAGGGAUCUUAAGCUCAGAGCAGACAGGGAAGAAGGUGAAAGAAGAGGGAAAAAGGGAAGGAAAGAAGAGAAAAAAUGAGCUGGAGGGGAGUGAAAAUGAAAGCAGGGCAAGAGAAGUGCUGAUGAGGAUGCAUACAGCAUUUCUAUCAGAACUAAAUUCUAAAAGAGACCAGAAUUCCAGACUCAGGCCAACAGAACUAAAUCCAAAAUCUUCACUUCACUGUCAUUUCUCAAGCACAACUCUAAAUGUCCUCAAAAAAUAAAACCAAGACCACCACCAAGCACAGCCUCAAUGCUUUGCUGCGAAAAUGAGUGGCAAACAUAUUUUAAACCAAUUUUUGCUCAUUUUACCCAAGUGAGUGCUCAAGCAAUAAUUCUGGAGACAUUCAGUGCUGCUAUGAUGGAGACCUGGCUGCUGCUGCUUAUGUUUGUAGCCAUGGAAUUUCGAGCAAAGUUGGUGUCACUCAUUUCAGCCAUAGCACCAAAAGUGCCAGUCAGCAACGUUCAAGCAAGAAAUAAAAUACAUUUAAAACAAAUAAAUGAAUCUUAGGGGGAAAAGAAGCAUAAAAGUGUGUUCAGAAGGCCUGAAGCUGCUCAGGAAAUAAAUCUUCUGUGUUAUUUAACAAUGAAAGAGGCAAUAACAACUUUUAAAAUGACCUCUUCUUCUCCCCAAAUUAGGGUGUAAAGGAAAAAUGCUAUUUUUCUCCCAGGCAAAAAAAAAAAAAAAAAAUAAUAAAAAAAAAA
RNAcentral lists this long non-coding RNA (9566 nucleotides) under Taeniopygia guttata (zebra finch). RNAcentral describes it as "lncRNA (ENSTGUG00000027948.1)". The record is from RNAcentral. Lineage: Eukaryota; Metazoa; Chordata; Aves; Passeriformes; Estrildidae.